AGAUGUCAGCAGUAUGAUGUCAGUGGCUACCAUUCCAGCUGCACAACUAGAUGAACUGCCUGUGUCUUGCAGAAUACCUUCAGCACAUUCGUCUGCAAGUUCACAUCACAGCCAAUCCAGAACAAAGACCAGCAGAAGUGGUGGAUCCAGCCGGACAACAGCUUCACGACUGACAGAGCUACAGGCAGCUAUUGUAGAGGAGAAACUGAAGAGCAUGGAGCUUGCAGAGAUGCAGAGACAGAUGGUGGAGGAGAGCAAAGCUGAAGAGCAGUGUGAGUUCCUGGAUCAACAAGCAUGCCUUGCGCUAUAUGAGAGAGAAGAUUUACUCAGAGAACAGCAGAGGAGAAGUCCUCAGCUAGAUGAAGAGGCUUGUGCAGCACACAAGACCAAAGAACUGAUCACCAAACAGCUCGAAAGCCAGCGCCGCAUUAAGCAGAAGGAGAUGGAACUGGAGAAAGCACAUCUCAUCGCAUCACUUCUUCAAGAAACAGACUGAAAAUGCAACAGCCAUUCCACAAGCCAGAAGUGAACUUGACCCAGGGCAGGUACAGGCCGAUAUACUCUGUGCGCAGAAGACGCUGCGUUUUAUACACCACACGUGCUGGGUCAGAGUGAGCAUCCGAGCUUUAAAGUUGUGUGCGUUCAUGCAGAAAAACCACACACACAUACACACCCCAAAUACCCCA
Sinocyclocheilus anshuiensis is the source of this 686-nucleotide long non-coding RNA. RefSeq lists it as uncharacterized. The transcript has 3 exons. Lineage: Eukaryota; Metazoa; Chordata; Actinopteri; Cypriniformes; Cyprinidae. The record is from RefSeq and is a predicted model, not a curated record.